This 541-nucleotide ribosomal RNA is filed under the name uncultured bacterium. Its description in RNAcentral is "bacterial SSU rRNA". It matches the Rfam family "Bacterial small subunit ribosomal RNA", at positions 356 to 896 of the family's 1533-position model. The record is from RNAcentral.
GAGGAAUAUUGGUCAAUGGGCGAGAGCCUGAACCAGCCAAGUAGCGUGCGGGAUGAAGGCCCUUGUGGUCGUAAACCGCUUUUAUCAGUGAAUAAAGUGCACCACGUGUGGUGUCAUUGCAGGUAGCUGAAGAAAAAGGACCGGCUAAUUCCGUGCCAGCAGCCGCGGUAAUACGGAAGGUCCGGGCGUUAUCCGGAAUUAUUGGGUUUAAAGGGAGCGCAGGCGGGAGUAUAAGUCAGCUGUUAAAUAUCAGGGCCCAACUCUGUUAUGCAGUUGAAACUAUAUUUCUUGAGUACGCACAGGGAUGGCGGAAUUCAGGGUGUAGCGGUGAAAUGCUUAGAUAUCCUGAAGAACUCCGAUCGCGAAGGCAGCCAUCCGGAGCGUAACUGACGCUGAGGCUCGAAGGUGCGGGUAUCGAACAGGAUUAGAUACCCUGGUAGUCCGCACGGUAAACGAUGAAUACUCGCAGUUCGGCCUUUUAGGUCGAGUUGUCCAGCGAAAGCGUUAAGUAUUCCACCUGGGGAGUACGCCGGCAACGGUG